AAUAGAUACCCGGGUAGUCCACGCCGUAAACGAUGUCGACUUGGAGGUUGUGCCCUUGAGGCGUGGCUUCCGGAGCUAACGCGUUAAGUCGACCGCCUGGGGAGUACGGCCGCAAGGUUAAAACUCAAAUGAAUUGACGGGGGCCCGCACAAGCGGUGGAGCAUGUGGUUUAAUUCGAUGCAACGCGAAGAACCUUAUCUGGUCUUGACAUCCACGGAAGUUUUCAGAGAUGAGAAUGUGCCUUCGGGAACCGUGAGACAGGUGCUGCAUGGCUGUCGUCAGCUCGUGUUGUGAAAUGUUGGGUUAAGUCCCGCAACGAGCGCAACCCUUAUCCUUUGUUGCCAGCGGUCCGGCCGGGAACUCAAAGGAGACUGCCAGUGAUAAACUGGAGGAAGGUGGGGAUGACGUCAAGUCAUCAUGGCCCCUUAACGACCGAGGGCUACACACGUGCUACAAUGGCGCAUACAAAGAGAAGCGACCUCGCGAGAGCAAGCGGACCUCAUAAAGUGCGUCGUAGUCCGGAUUGGAGU
This 530-nucleotide ribosomal RNA is filed under the name uncultured bacterium. Its description in RNAcentral is "bacterial SSU rRNA". It matches the Rfam family "Bacterial small subunit ribosomal RNA", at positions 777 to 1304 of the family's 1533-position model. The record is from RNAcentral.